UACGUAGGGGGCAAGCGUUGUCCGGAUUUAUUGGGCGUAAAGAGCGUGUAGGCGGCCAGGUAGGUCCGUUGUGAAAACUCGAGGCUCAACCUCGAGACGCCGAUGGAAACCCCCUGGCUAGAGUCCGGAAGAGGAGAGUGGAAUUCCUGGUGUAGCGGUGAAAUGCGUAGAUAUCGGGAGGAACACCUGUGGCGAAGGCGGCCACCUGGGCCGACCCUGACGCUGAGGCGCGAAGGCGUGGGGAGCGAACGGG
This 253-nucleotide ribosomal RNA is filed under the name uncultured bacterium. RNAcentral describes it as "partial 16S ribosomal RNA". It matches the Rfam family "Bacterial small subunit ribosomal RNA", at positions 524 to 776 of the family's 1533-position model. The record is from RNAcentral.